Molecule: long non-coding RNA, 1718 nt
Filed under: Strigops habroptila (Kakapo)
Lineage: Eukaryota; Metazoa; Chordata; Aves; Psittaciformes; Psittacidae
Description: lncRNA (ENSSHBG00005009321.1)
Source: RNAcentral
AUCGUUCCGCCGACGGAAUAAAGGGGCUGCGGGCGGCUACGCCGGCGGCGGUCUGCUUUAUGAUGGGUUCAGAGCAAAACCCCACAAGCAAUUGAGCUGACACAACAGGAGUGGUAGACUGCUAUGACAUGGAUUUUAUGGAAUCACAGAAUGGCUAAGGCUGGGAGAGGCAUCUGAAGGUCAUCUUGUCCACCCCCCUGCACUUUUCCAGGAUUGUGUCUGGGUGGAUUUUGAACAUGUCCAAUGAUGGAGACUUUGCAGUCUCUCUGGCCAACCAGUUCCAGUGCUCAGUCACCCUCACAGUAAAAAAUUUCAAGCUUCACUGUCAUUAAAUAUUUUGUGUGAUGACUGCCUGCUCUAAAUUAGAACUAAGAAGCAUUUGUAGAAGUUCAUGACUACCUCCCGGUUCAGGUCUUACAGUUAGACUUCGAAAUCCUGUGUCUGUGUAACACUGCCUGUGUCAGUCUCUUGGAAUGCAUCUGUCCUAGUCAGUUCUAGUAUGCUUCAGAAUGCAUGGGAAUGUGUUUGUCCUUGCUAGGCUAAUCCCACAGUAGGCCAGUCCUACACUUGCUAGGCCAAUCUCAGCACACUCCCUAAAAAAAUCUUGGCCUGUUUCAACUGUUUAUGUCCCUCAGCAACUCCUUGGCAUUGUCUGUCAUUCAGAGCAGCUCAGGAGAACGCUCAAUGGGCAGUUUGCCUUCAGUUACCCAUUCCCAACAAUUUCUUAAGUGUAGAUGCCAGCUAUUCUGUGAAUUAUGUCAGAGCCUUCUACUCUGUGAGUGAUGUCAGACAUGUUUAAUUUGCUGGUGUAUAAGUGGCCUGUGUCUGCAGGAUAUCUGAAUGUGUGCUCAGCACUGUGACCUGAGCUUUAGUGCAUCGUGCUGCUGAACGUGCCCUUGACUCCAGGCUUCAUGUGUGAUAUGUGUUAGGGAGAUGGGGCAGGCAAGAAUAACAAAACUGCCUCUUUGCUUCUUGUCUUGGUUUCUGGGGAAUAUUUUCUUUGACUUUUUCCUUUUAGAACUUGUCCAGAUCUUGGGCUGUGUUUGUGAAUUUGCCUUUCUGAAUUUUAGCCCUCUAAGCAUGAAAAUCAAUGUAAUUUAUUUUUUACUUACAUCAGAGUGGAUAAUGUAACUCAGGCACAUAAUAAAUAAACAAAUCAGCUUGCUUAAUUUGAACUGAAAUACAACUUUUCAAUGCUUUUUUUAGCCUUCAAAAAAUUUCUAAAAUUUAGGAUCAAGAACAGCUCCGAGCUGUUUUCGAUUGAAAACUGCAAUUGCUCUCUGUAUUUCCAAUGAAUCUAUUUCAGUGAGAAUGAAAAAAUGGACUUUUUUAAACCUCAGUAUUUAUUUUUAAUUUCACCUGCAUUUGAGACCUCCUGCUGGCCUACCUGUGUUUUUCUCAAUUUAUAUUCAAUGUAAAACUGAUUUUGGGAGAGAAUCAAUCACUUGGUUUGGAAUGCUGAUUUCUGAUGUUUAGCUGUAUGCCUCUGUAGCACAGUUAUCUUUAUGCUGUAAGUAUAUGUAACUCAAGAAUGUACAUUAGCAAAAUAAGGUAUUUCUCUUUCAAUAUGCAUUUCUUAAUUUCUCUUUCAAUAUGCAUCUCAUAAGAUCUGCAAGAUGUUACAAGGAGUUUGAAGAUAUAGUACGAUAACAUAAAAGUAGUGUUUUAUGUAGAUGUAAAUAACAAAACCCAAGAACUAUAUUAAAAUAAUGUUUAAA